Molecule: ribosomal RNA, 253 nt
Filed under: uncultured bacterium
Lineage: Bacteria
Description: partial 16S ribosomal RNA
Rfam family: Bacterial small subunit ribosomal RNA
Source: RNAcentral
UACGAAGGGUGCAAACGUUGCUCGGAAUCAUUGGGCGUAAAGCGCACGUAGGCGGCCUCAUAAGUCGGAUGUGAAAUCCCUCGGCUCAACCGAGGACGUGCAUCCGAAACUGUGAAGCUCGAGUAUGGAAGAGGGUCGCGGAAUUCCCGGUGUAGAGGUGAAAUUCGUAGAUAUCGGGAGGAACACCAGUGGCGAAGGCGGCGACCUGGGCCGUAAUUGACGCUGAGGCGCGAAAGCGUGGGGAGCAAACAGG